RNAcentral lists this non-coding RNA (31 nucleotides) under Mus musculus (house mouse). Lineage: Eukaryota; Metazoa; Chordata; Mammalia; Rodentia; Muridae. The record is from RNAcentral.
GUGGUGCUCUUUUAUCAACAGUUUCUGAUUC